GCUCUCCAGUGAUAGCUCAGUCGGUAGAGCAUGAGACUCUUAAACUUAAGGCCGUGAGUUCGAGCCCCACAUAGGACA
Molecule: non-coding RNA, 78 nt
Organism: Podarcis lilfordi (Lilford's wall lizard)
Lineage: Eukaryota; Metazoa; Chordata; Lepidosauria; Squamata; Lacertidae
Source: the annotation of a GenBank genome assembly